CCAAAUUCCAUGCUAUAAUUUUCAUGUUAAGAAGCAUAAUAAAACGGAAAAAGGUGAAAAUCCUUUACAGCCCCUUCGCUACUGUAAGAUUGACGAAGCUGUCACAACUCACUGGGACACCCUGGAAAGAGGACAGUUGUAGGACGAGAUCAAGUCAGGAUACGUUUGUUAUGCCGAUUGCAAAG
This 185-nucleotide non-coding RNA is filed under the name Lentilactobacillus buchneri. Lineage: Bacteria; Bacillati; Bacillota; Bacilli; Lactobacillales; Lactobacillaceae. The record is from RNAcentral. RNAcentral also lists the same sequence under 1 other name.